This 535-nucleotide ribosomal RNA is filed under the name Bombus lantschouensis. Its description in RNAcentral is "partial 16S ribosomal RNA". The stretch from base 383 to 535 matches the Rfam family "Bacterial large subunit ribosomal RNA", at positions 2473 to 2626 of the family's 2925-position model. Lineage: Eukaryota; Metazoa; Arthropoda; Insecta; Hymenoptera; Apidae. The record is from RNAcentral.
GGCUUAUUGAGUGAUAAUUUUAAGUCAAUUCUGCCCAAUGAUUAAAAAAUUUAAUGGCUGCAGUAUAAUUGACUGUACAAAGGUAGCAUAAUCAAUUGUUUUUUAAUUAAGAACUGGAAUGAAAGAGUUAAUGAGAUAUAUUCUGUCUCAUAUAUAUUUAAUUAAUUUAAAUUUUUAGUUAAAAUGCUAAAAUUGAUUUAUGGGACGAUAAGACCCUAUAGAAUUUAAUAUUAAUAUAUUGAUUAUAAUUUAAUUAUUAAAUAUUAAUAUUUUGUUGGGAGGAUAGAUAAAUUUAUAAAACUUUAUUUUAAAUAUUAACUUUAAUUAAAGAAUAAAUAUUUUUGAUCUUAUAAUAAAAAUUGAAAGAAUAAAUUACCUUAGGGAUAACAGCGUAAUAUCUUUUUAAAGAUCAUAUUGAAAAAGAUGAUUGCGACCUCGAUGUUGAAUUAAGAUAAAUUUUAAAUGAAGAAAUUUAAUAAUUAAGUCUGUUCGACUUUUAAAAUCUUACAUGAUUUGAGUUCAAAUCGACGUAAGU